This 1372-nucleotide ribosomal RNA is filed under the name uncultured bacterium. RNAcentral's name for it is "bacterial SSU rRNA". It matches the Rfam family "Bacterial small subunit ribosomal RNA", at positions 28 to 1381 of the family's 1533-position model. The record is from RNAcentral.
GAUGAACGCUGGCGGCGUGACUAAUACAUGCAAGUCGAGCGAACGGACGAGAAGCUUGCUUCUCUGAUGUUAGCGGCGGACGGGUGAGUAACACGUGGAUAACCUACCUAUAAGACUGGGAUAACUUCGGGAAACCGGAGCUAAUACCGGAUAAUAUUUUGAACCGCAUGGUUCAAAAGUGAAAGACGGUCUUGCUGUCACUUAUAGAUGGAUCCGCGCUGCAUUAGCUAGUUGGUAAGGUAACGGCUUACCAAGGCAACGAUGCAUAGCCGACCUGAGAGGGUGAUCGGCCACACUGGAACUGAGACACGGUCCAGACUCCUACGGGAGGCAGCAGUAGGGAAUCUUCCGCAAUGGGCGAAAGCCUGACGGAGCAACGCCGCGUGAGUGAUGAAGGUCUUCGGAUCGUAAAACUCUGUUAUUAGGGAAGAACAUAUGUGUAAGUAACUGUGCACAUCUUGACGGUACCUAAUCAGAAAGCCACGGCUAACUACGUGCCAGCAGCCGCGGUAAUACGUAGGUGGCAAGCGUUAUCCGGAAUUAUUGGGCGUAAAGCGCGCGUAGGCGGUUUUUUAAGUCUGAUGUGAAAGCCCACGGCUCAACCGUGGAGGGUCAUUGGAAACUGGAAAACUUGAGUGCAGAAGAGGAAAGUGGAAUUCCAUGUGUAGCGGUGAAAUGCGCAGAGAUAUGGAGGAACACCAGUGGCGAAGGCGACUUUCUGGUCUGUAACUGACGCUGAUGUGCGAAAGCGUGGGGAUCAAACAGGAUUAGAUACCCUGGUAGUCCACGCCGUAAACGAUGAGUGCUAAGUGUUAGGGGGUUUCCGCCCCUUAGUGCUGCAGCUAACGCAUUAAGCACUCCGCCUGGGGAGUACGACCGCAAGGUUGAAACUCAAAGGAAUUGACGGGGACCCGCACAAGCGGUGGAGCAUGUGGUUUAAUUCGAAGCAACGCGAAGAACCUUACCAAAUCUUGACAUCCUUUGACAACUCUAGAGAUAGAGCCUUCCCCUUCGGGGGACAAAGUGACAGGUGGUGCAUGGUUGUCGUCAGCUCGUGUCGUGAGAUGUUGGGUUAAGUCCCGCAACGAGCGCAACCCUUAAGCUUAGUUGCCAUCAUUAAGUUGGGCACUCUAAGUUGACUGCCGGUGACAAACCGGAGGAAGGUGGGGAUGACGUCAAAUCAUCAUGCCCCUUAUGAUUUGGGCUACACACGUGCUACAAUGGACAAUACAAAGGGCAGCGAAACCGCGAGGUCAAGCAAAUCCCAUAAAGUUGUUCUCAGUUCGGAUUGUAGUCUGCAACUCGACUACAUGAAGCUGGAAUCGCUAGUAAUCGUAGAUCAGCAUGCUACGGUGAAUACGUUCCCGGGUCU